UACGAAGGGGGCAAGCGUUGUUCGGAAUUACUGGGCGUAAAGGGCGCGUAGGCGGCCUGCUAAGUCGAACGUGAAAUCCCCGGGCUCAACCCGGGAACUGCGUUCGAUACUGGUUGGCUUGAAUCCGGGAGAGGGAUGCGGAAUUCCAGGUGUAGCGGUGAAAUGCGUAGAUAUCUGGAGGAACACCGGUGGCGAAGGCGGCAUCCUGGACCGGCAUUGACGCUGAGGCGCGAAAGCCAGGGGAGCAAACGGGAUUAGAAACCCCCGUAGUCC
Molecule: ribosomal RNA, 273 nt
Filed under: uncultured bacterium
Lineage: Bacteria
Description: partial 16S ribosomal RNA
Rfam family: Bacterial small subunit ribosomal RNA
Source: RNAcentral